Molecule: long non-coding RNA, 2880 nt
Organism: Gallus gallus (chicken)
Lineage: Eukaryota; Metazoa; Chordata; Aves; Galliformes; Phasianidae
Source: Ensembl
ACUGAUUCUUAGCUUGAGCACUCAAGUGUGAUGUGAGAGGCUGGGUUCUGCUUUGUUUGGUUGCAGAUUCUUCUUCCUCACAUGGCUGAGUAUGAUAUGUUGCGACCUUCAGUACCUAUCCUGUGUCUUUUAAGGACUUCCUCAGCCAGGGAACACAUUCGUUGGUUUAAGAGUAACUGUAAAGAGUCUGCAAGAGCUUCCAUCAUCCAUCGAUAGAAGAAUUAAACUUUGCUGCACUCCAGCUAGCUAGGGAAGCAUGCGGGUUGGUUGGCUGUCCUGGCUGGAUUCUUCUGAAGAGCUUCCUUCCAUGCUUCAUGUUCUUCCCUUGUUUGAGUAACUGUGAAGGAGAGGAAUGGGAUGAGAUGCCUCCAAUAUGAAUUUGAUAAUUCUUCUACUUUCCUGUUAGGUUUGAGAGCAGAGCCUUGUGGCUCUGAUCAAAAUGUAUGGCAAACACUUCAUAGGCAGUCCUUGUCCAGAGAGCCUGGCCAUGCAUGCAGAGGGAGGACUGGAGGGGGGAGAGGUACAGUCAGGAGACGUGUCGUGGGGUGCAGCAGGAGAAGGAUGGAGCCAUUGCUGCCAAGUCGGGGCAGUUUUUCAGUUGGCACAAAAAAAUCAGUAAUUUUAACUGAGUAAAUACUAAUUUUGUUUCCAGGACAAAAAGAAUAGUUAGUGUGAAGAAUGUGUAAAUUUCCCGUGUAUUUCUAGUGAAUAUUUAAUAUAAUGCAAUUAGAGGCUGGCUAAGAAUUAUACAGCUUUUAAAAACCAACAAAUAAAUGGACUCCUGUUUUCAUGAUGUGAUUCACCCAUCUAAAAUUACUUCUGAAAUUCGAGUUAAAAAGCAUGAUCUGGAAUGCUCAAAACCUGUUUCAGAACGUUGUCCUUGGGCUCAGCCUGCAUCACCUGGGUUCAGGGUGGGACACCAAAGGUGUGCAUCGUGCAAAAACCCAUAUAAACAGUGCAAUCUAAGUUAAUGUGGCAUUAAUUAAGAACUAGGAACACUUGUUUAAUUAUAACUGUUUUGCAACAAAGCACACGGCUUAGUGUUGCAGAAGGUUUGUCAGACACAGAGUAUAUUAGGCAAAAGUAUCUGGUUUACCUGAUGUGAAGUCUUAUAUCUGAAAGGAAUACAGCUUUGUUAGUCUGGUGUUCUGCUUGGGCUAAUUUAUCUUAAUUGAGAUAUAGCCUGACUAUUCCAAUGCAGUACCAUAUGAACCUAUCUUCAGUAGAAGAAAUUCAAACAAGCAACUCUUCAAAUCAUUCUCAAUUCAGGGUUUUGUAAAUACGUGACCAAGAAUAACUGCUUGUGUCCUUUGCACAGCAUCCAUGCAAGUAGCUGUAAAAUCACAAAAUAAUAUCAUUAGACAAUUGGUUUUGGCAAACUCGGAUCAACUGGGUAAGAGAAGGAGAAUCAGUGGGGUUGAUAUAGAUCACUGUUAUUUACUCGCUUGGGUAAAUUAAUUUUUCCAGUAAUUAAGACAAAAAGUACCCCAAGUGCGGGGUGUUUUUUCCUUUUCCCUCAGCAUGCCUUUACGUACAGUACCUGACUCAUAAUGGGACUCCUAUGCAGUGCUUCUGAAUAGUUGCAGUUUCAAACUGAAAUUACAAUCUUUAAGCACAAAAAGUAUUAAGGGAAACUAAAAAAAUCAAGUAGGAAUUAUUAUGAACUUGUCUGGUCCAUGUUCAGUGUUUAUUCCUAAAGUAUGAUGCCUCAUAUACUUCACUGUUGGAAAGUUCUCUUUUGGACUGUAAUAUCCUCUUCCCUCAUAAGUAGUUGACUGUUGCAGCACCCUUUGUAUUUGCUUCAGCUUUUUGCUAUAUGCGAUAGUGGCUUUCGUACUGACUUGUGCUUGGCAGCAGGCUGACGCCAUCAAAAAGAAAUGCAAGUCUUAAAAACGCUCAUUUUCGGAAUCCUGAUUGGUGAGUGUGCUGGUGGUGCUCAUGGAAGUACAAUUUGCAAAUAGCGGUUCUUGUCAAUCACAGCGAUGUGCCACUGCGUCUUACGUGCUUACUCAUAAGUUGUUAGCAAUCCUGUUACCUGUUUCCAAGCCCUUCUCAUCCAUCUGUGAUGCUCAAGUUCCUCUCUUUUGGGCAAUAAUAUUCACAUUUCAGAGUGAUGCAUCUAAUGACUGGGCUCGCUUUGAGGGCACAGCGCCAUGUAAUGGUGGAAUAGAGUGUCACAGUGCCUUGGAUAACUGAGUCAGUCAGCAUGAGAAGAACAAAACCUUUGUGUGGUGGAAAAGAAAAUGGAGAGCGAGAGCUAUGCUACUGAAGAAAGCAGCCCCUCAUAGGCUAUUUGUGAAGAAAGGUCUUCUUGCAUCAUAUUCGUAUGGGUUGAGAGUGGUUUUAUGGGCUCUGUGAUCACAUUACAUGCUCCUUAUGCCCCUCAAGUAAUCUUUUUGGAUUCUGCAGCCAUGUUUCCUGUGAAGUCUUCUAAAAUAUUCCAGUAGACUGCCCAGUGUACGCUGCAGUGCUUUAUUCUCAGCUUCAGGAAGAACUGUCUCAGAUGUUACUCAAAAGCACCUCACCCCUACAGUCUUGCAUCACUGGGGUCAGGGUUUAAAUGUCAAUAUGAUUACCAUUUGAGCAUCUUCGUCUCCCAGAAGUUCAAUUCUGUCCUAAAGUGCUAGCUUAGGAAUGGCAUUGAUAUUCAGAAGGAGCUACAAAUGCAUCAGAGAUCAGAUGGAAAAUAUGUAUAUAAUGUAUCACUGUAUUGCAUGUGGCAGCUAGGCGUAGUAAUGGAGUAAUGCUUUAAUAUGUACAGUAUAUUUAUUAUACAGUCAAGUGGAAAAAAAGUGGAUGUUUCUAUUUAUCAGUUCUUUUUUGUCUUGGGUGUUUCUAUCUUUGACUGAUACAAAUAUUUUGGAAUCUAAACAUAUCUCC